Molecule: long non-coding RNA, 3193 nt
Organism: Zonotrichia leucophrys gambelii
Lineage: Eukaryota; Metazoa; Chordata; Aves; Passeriformes; Passerellidae
Exons: 8
Source: RefSeq, a predicted model, not a curated record
AAGGUGGCUCAGGGUCAGCUGUUUGUAAGGUCACUGAUUCAAAGAUCUAGGUUAGCUGGUAACUUCAUAGUUAGUGCCUUUGGAUCAUCUCUAAGCUCUUGUGGGAUAGACUGACUCCUGACCUUUUACCCCUGUAGCUGGUGGGAACGGAGAGCUCUGGAGACCUCAAAAGUCCCCCAGUCUCCACAUAAGCUGAGCUGAUGAAUUCUGACAAGGCUGACAACACCUCUGAAGGUUUCUUUCCAGAACAGCUGUCUCGGGAGGAACUCUCACCUCCACCUCAGAGCUAUAAACUGAGCUCCACAGAGUGGAUGACUCUGUGGAAGAUAAAUGAUGCUGUCUUUAGUGACUGCUUUCUAGGAGGACAAAAUGUAAGAAAGAAGUGAACAGACCCUUCAGUGGCACUUGAACAUAGGCAGUUAAAUCUUCAGUCAUCAAAACACACAGCUGUAAAUGGGCACAAGUACCUAUUGUCAUGGAGUUGUGGACUUAAUGUGAGGUGAUGAUGUUUCAAGUAUUAAUUGUGGAUCUCUUACAGUACCAUCUCUUGACUUCCGAAAUUCAAGAUGAUUACUGUUUUGAUGUCAGCCCCCUUAUCCACAGCUUUUUCCAGCUAUCUGUAACCCUCUGGGAGGCCCUGUCUGCUGAAGCAACGCCACUUUUCUGCCAUCGGGUUUUCAGAUAGAGGAAGUCUGGGAUACAGAGGUUGAGAUACCUGAAAUCUCAAAGUGAAUCAGAAUCAGAAGCAGAGACUGAGAGGGAGUCUAGCCUCCUUUUUUGGUUCCACAAUGGUUUGAGAAUCUUCAAAACGAGUUAAUUUCCUGUUGGCUGAGACAUGAAUGGCAAAUCUCUGUUAAGCCACGCUAGAAUUCCUCUGAUCUACUGGCAAUAUGGGAUAUUGCUAGUGAAUUGAAAAAGGUAUAGAGCUGGGAACCAUAUCUGCCUGUAAAAGUGGUGGAUGGUCUGUCACAGCUUUUGGCCCUGGGGGAGCACCAUUGGCCAGACCUCUCUGGGGCAGAGCUCUCAUUCAGCACUUUCAGCAAGUUUAACAGGACUGAGCAUUGCAGUCUUGGCUUUGUCCUCUGGGCCAGGCACUGAGAGCUGGCACUGCUUGGUUUGUACUACCCUGAGAACAACCAGAGCUCAACAGGGACGCAAACAAGGGAGUUAUCCCAUGAAGAGCCUGCAGGAAAUAAUAUAGAAAGCCACCAUCUUUGAGGAAUGUGAAUUUUUGCUAUUUAAGGAACUAUUGAUAAUGUCAAAAUAUCCCCCCAAAGAGUGAAUUUUGAACAGCAAACUCUUAGUGGGAAGCACACAUCACUCUAGAGAUAAUCAAUUGGUUAACUGAAGCCUUAAAGGAAGUGAAAGACAAAACUGUGUUACCAAGGAAAAGUUUAUGCAGUAACUCCCAAAUCUUGAUGAGAAAUGUCUUAUCACUGUAAUCUGUUCAUGCAUUUUCUUUCACAAGAAGUGCAGCAGGCCAAACACCUGGAACAGAUUUUGUUUAUAAUACAUGUAAUGACAUCAACAAAAGAUUUGGAAACACACUGUAUUCAUACUCAGCAUCACAAAAUGUUACAAAAUUGCUGCCUUUGCAGAGUUCCCAGCAAAACAGGAAAUAAAUGAAUUUAAAAAUUUCAUGAGAAGCAGAAAAUAAAUUUGAAAAUAAUGUUAGAUGCAGAAAAAUAUAGAAUGCUGCCUUAGAUGCAGAAGCUGGAGGGGAUCAGAUUUUCAGCCUAAUUGUGGGGUAGAGUGAAGGCUGGAGAAUGAUCUGAGAAAAUGAUCCUUGGAGGAGAUGAUCAGACAACAUGAAAAUUCAUGGACUAUUUUGAAAGUCAGACUUUUCAAUUUGUGUUCAUAAUUUCUCUAUAAUAAACACAAGUAUUCAUGCAUAAAUUAUGCUAAAAGUGUGGUAUGAAGUUAGGUACCAAAUGCUGUGUAUUACCAUUCUUGCAGUUUAAAGACUUGGAACAUAAAGGUCCAUUUACUUUUUUAUUACCUUUUUUUUUCUUAAUUUCCUUCAAGCCUGGAAGAGUCAGUAACCAUGGAAUUUACUCUUAAAACAGUUCCAAACAAUAUAAUUACUAACUAAGUUUUUUUCCUAUUUUGGGAUAAAUGGUGUGAAUCAACAAAACACUGCAGAAAUCAGCUUUCUACACAAAUUGCUGAUAACAAAAAAGUGGUUAAUCAGGAACAGAGGCUUCAAAAGGGACUUCUAAGGACACUAAACCCCAGAGCUCUCAAUUGCAAGCACUUUGAGAACAGAAGUUUUGCCCCAAAAGUCAAAUCCUGAAACAUAUACUCUGCUCAUCUCACUCCACUAAAUAACUGUUUUCUCCAAACUGAGAGCUUGGCAUUGGUAGGAAAAUGCUCACUGUUUCAGAGAGAUGUCAAAGGGAGAAAUCCAAGCUGUAUUCAGAACACAAGGCCAUAUUGUGGGAGGCUUUGAUAUCGAGAGAUUUGGAUGGUGAGAUUUCCAGCUGUUUGCAGAAAUCAGGUUGUACCCAUUAAUGCUAAAUUGGCUCUCCCUUUUUCCAGAAAGAAUGUAUUUUGCUUAUAUUUCCAAAGAAAGAUUAAAUUUGUAGGCAACCAGGGUCUGGACUUCUUAAACUAUUUCCAUUCCCUCUCACCCUCCAGAGACCCCAUCCCCCAAAAGAGAAAGCCUAUCCAUUCUUGAAAUUUAGUAAUGUGGCCUGAACUUUUUUGCAGAAGUAGCAGCCACCACUAUUUCUGUUACACUAAUGUCCAUCUUGCUGCAUUGCUAGAACAUUGUUUUCACUAUUCCCACUUAUCCUUUAAAAUGAGAUGAAACUAUAGGACAGACAUCUGUGCUUCCCUUAAAGCAAAGCAAAAGCCCAAGCUCAGACAGUGAAAUGUUUUAAAUACUGCUGCUGAAACCUCUGAAAGGAAAUUUGCUUUAUACCUUGAAAUAAACAUUCCUGCGCUCAGAUCCAGACAGAUCACUUUGCAAUUUCCACCCCCCCAUCUGAGAAUAUUUACAAAAUCACUGACUCUCAUUUUACUUUUCCAGAUGAUGACAGGGCAAAUUUAAAGGCUACCUUUUUCAGAGUAGGCUCACCCCUCUAAAUACUUCAGAAAGGAUAAUUUCACUGUAUUUUCUUACUUUUCACUCAUUUUCAAACUGAAGCUAAAGAUAUCCCAUUCCACUGAAUACUUAUCUCCUGAUAUUUUA